Molecule: transfer RNA, 85 nt
Filed under: Gammaproteobacteria bacterium
Lineage: Bacteria; Pseudomonadati; Pseudomonadota; Gammaproteobacteria
Also listed under: 3 other names
Description: tRNA-Leu
Rfam family: tRNA
About the family: Transfer RNA (tRNA) molecules are approximately 80 nucleotides in length.
Source: RNAcentral
GCGAAUGUGGCGGAAUUGGUAGACGCGCCAGACUUAGGAUCUGGUGGGGUAACCCGUGCGAGUUCGAGUCUCGCCUUUCGCACCA